ACGGGGGGGGCAAGCGUUGUUCGGAAUUACUGGGCGUAAAGGGCUGGUAGGUGGCCAACUAAGUCAGACGUGAAAUCCCCAGGCUUAACCUGGGAACUGCGUCUGAUACUGGAUGGCUGGAGUUUGGGAGAGGGAUGCGGAAUUCCAGGUGUAGCGGUGAAAUGCGUAGAUAUCGGGAGGAACACCUGUGGCGAAAGCGGCGCACUGGACCACAACUGACGCUGAGGCGCGAAAGCUAGGGGAGCAAACAGGA
This 253-nucleotide ribosomal RNA is filed under the name uncultured prokaryote. Its description in RNAcentral is "partial 16S ribosomal RNA". It matches the Rfam family "Bacterial small subunit ribosomal RNA", at positions 525 to 777 of the family's 1533-position model. The record is from RNAcentral.